CUGAAAAGGAGCCACUCUGGGAACUGCCUGGGAGGCAACCCUUCUCACUACCUAGAAACCAGAAUGAAAGGUCUACAGCAGAGACGGAAGAGAGGAAGUCUCGUCACUUGGACCACCAAAGAACUAAGGUCUCAAGGUCCCUCUACUAUGGUUAAAUCUAUAGUCAAGCAACCCAUCCCAGUGCUUCUGUGGAAUUCCUGCAAGAGGCAGGAGGCGGUUCAGAGAGUCAUCAAAGCCAUUUUCACAAGGUAGACACAGGACUGGGGGAUUAGAGGCUUUCAUGGCCUCACUUGCCAACCUGCACCCCAAGGCUCUGGGUGAGUACCAUUAACUUCUCUCCACUCUCUAUAAUUCCAAACCAAUCUCCACUUUGCAUAUCGACAUGAAAGCCAAUGGCUGUGCCAGCUAAGGUCAGCCGACUCCAAGGAAAAAGCCUCAAGGGGAGGCAGAUAUGGAGACAGGAGCUGGGAAAAGCAGUAGGAGAAACCUCACGCUGGACAUUACGUCUACCAGUGACUCUCUCCCCUACUGCUGCCAGUGCCUGAAGCACCAGGGCAGUUUGUAUCUUCUCAAGGUGUUUCCUCAGGAACCUUCAGAGGAGGUAUUUGGCCACGGCCUCACAAAGUCAGACUCCUGGUCAGAAUGCCUGGAGUGUGUGAACUAGCUGGGAUUCACCUCAUCCACUGUCAGCACCUCAUGUCCUAAAGGCGUCCGGGGUUACUGCUUCUCAGGCGGUGACUCAGGCCUGCAAAGCCGGAAGACAUUUGGCCUUAAACGGGCUCAUUCAGACCGGAAGAGGUGCCACAUGCAGUUUCCAA
This 818-nucleotide long non-coding RNA is filed under the name Mus pahari (shrew mouse). RNAcentral's name for it is "lncRNA (MGP_PahariEiJ_G0003425.1)". The record is from RNAcentral. Lineage: Eukaryota; Metazoa; Chordata; Mammalia; Rodentia; Muridae.